Long non-coding RNA from Galeopterus variegatus (Sunda flying lemur), 145 nucleotides. RefSeq lists it as uncharacterized. The transcript has 3 exons. NCBI's taxonomy places the organism in Eukaryota, Metazoa, Chordata, Mammalia, Dermoptera, Cynocephalidae. The record is from RefSeq and is a predicted model, not a curated record.
GAAGAACGCUAUUUGUCUGUGGAGAGUUCUAAUACUUGCUUUCUGUGGAAUUAUAGAGUUAUAAAUUUUGUUCACAAUUUAACCCAGGUUGUCAUUAUAUGGGUAUACGAUCCAGAAAAUGCAAAUCCUGAUGAGUUGCUGUGGC